Molecule: ribosomal RNA, 254 nt
Filed under: uncultured bacterium
Lineage: Bacteria
Description: partial 16S ribosomal RNA
Rfam family: Bacterial small subunit ribosomal RNA
Source: RNAcentral
UACGUAGGGGCCUAGCGUUGUCCGGAUUUAUUGGGCGUAAAGAGCUCGUAGGCGGUUCGGUAAGUCAGGUGUGAAAUCUCCACGCUCAACGUGGAGGCGCCACCUGAAACUGCCGUGACUCGAGUCCGGUAGGGGAGUGUGGAAUUCCCGGUGUAGCGGUGAAAUGCGUAGAUAUCGGGAGGAACAUCAGUGGCGAAGGCGGCCUUCUGGUCCAGUACUGACGCUGAGGCGCGAAAGCUAGGGGAGCAAACAGG